Molecule: ribosomal RNA, 301 nt
Filed under: uncultured bacterium
Lineage: Bacteria
Description: partial 16S ribosomal RNA
Rfam family: Bacterial small subunit ribosomal RNA
Source: RNAcentral
CAGUCGCCGCGGUAAUACGAAGGGUGCAAGCGUUAAUCGGAAUUACUGGGCGUAAAGCGCGCGUAGGUGGUUCAUUAAGUUGGAUGUGAAAGCCCUGGGCUCAACCUGGGAACUGCAUCCAAAACUGGCAAGCUAGAGUAUGGUAGAGGGUGGUGGAAUUUCCUGUGUAGCGGUGAAAUGCGUAGGUAUAGGAAGGAACACCAGUGGCGAAGGCGACCACCUGGACUGAUACUGACACUGAGGUGCGAAAGCGUGGGGAGCAAACAGGAUUAGAUACCCGCGUAGUCCCUGUCUCUUAUAC